AAUAGAUACCCGGGUAGUCCACGCCGUAAACGAUGGAUACUAGCUGUUUGAGCGCAAGUUUGAGUGGCUAAGCGAAAGUGAUAAGUAUCCCACCUGGGGAGUACGGGCGCAAGCCUGAAACUCAAAGGAAUUGACGGGGGCCCGCACAAGCGGUGGAGCAUGUGGUUUAAUUCGAUGAUACGCGAGGAACCUUACCAGGGCUUAAAUGUAGAUUGACGUAUUUGGAAACAGAUAUUUCUUCGGACAAUUUACAAGGUGCUGCAUGGUUGUCGUCAGCUCGUGCCGUGAGGUGUCAGGUUAAGUCCUAUAACGAGCGCAACCCCUGUUGUUAGUUGCCAGCGAGUAAUGUCGGGAACUCUAGCAAGACUGCCAGUGUAAACUGUGAGGAAGGUGGGGAUGACGUCAAAUCAUCACGGCCCUCACGUCCUGGGCCACACACGUGCUACAAUGGCCGGUACAGAGAGCAGCCACUUAGCGAUAAGGAGCGAAUCUAUAAAGCCGGUCACAGUUCGGA
Molecule: ribosomal RNA, 514 nt
Filed under: uncultured bacterium
Lineage: Bacteria
Description: bacterial SSU rRNA
Rfam family: Bacterial small subunit ribosomal RNA
Source: RNAcentral